CCUACGGGGGGCAGCAGUGAGGAAUAUUGGUCAAUGGUAGGGAGCCUGAACCAGCCAAGCCGCGUGAGGGAAGACGGCACAGUGUGUCGUAAACCUCUUUUGUCGGAGAACAAAACCCGGGACGUGUCCCCGGCUGCGUGUAUCCGAAGAAAAAGCAUCGGCUAACUCCGUGCCAGCAGCCGCGGUAAUACGGAGGAUGCGAGCGUUAUCCGGAUUUAUUGGGUUUAAAGGGUGCGUAGGCGGUCAGUUAAGUCAGCGGUAAAAGGGCGGGGCUCAACCCCGGCGCGCCGUUGAAACUGGCAGUCUCGAGUUGGAGAGAAGUACGCGGAAUGCGCGGUGUAGCGGUGAAAUGCAUAGAUAUCGCGCAGAACUCCGAUUGCGAAGGCAGCGUACCGGCGCCAGACUGACGCUGAGGCACGAAAGCGUGGGGAUCGAACAGGAUUAGAUACCCGAGUAGUC
RNAcentral lists this ribosomal RNA (459 nucleotides) under uncultured bacterium. RNAcentral describes it as "partial 16S ribosomal RNA". It matches the Rfam family "Bacterial small subunit ribosomal RNA", at positions 338 to 795 of the family's 1533-position model. The record is from RNAcentral.